Molecule: ribosomal RNA, 585 nt
Filed under: uncultured Flavobacterium sp.
Lineage: Bacteria; Pseudomonadati; Bacteroidota; Flavobacteriia; Flavobacteriales; Flavobacteriaceae
Description: bacterial SSU rRNA
Rfam family: Bacterial small subunit ribosomal RNA
Source: RNAcentral
GAGUUUGAUCCUGGCUCAGUAAUCAACGCUAGCGGCAGGCCUAACACAUGCAAGUCGAACGGUAACAGGGAUUGCUUGCAAUCCGCUGACGAGUGGCGCACAGGUGCGUAACGCGUAUACAAUCUGCCUUACACUGGGGGAUUUUACAUAUAAAAAAUGAAGAUUAAUACCCCAUGGUAUGUGACUGUGGCAUCACAGACACAUUAAAGGUUACGGUGUAAGAUGAGUAUGCGUCCUAUUAGUUAGUUGGUGAGGUAACGGCUCACCAAGGCUACGAUAGGUAGGGGCCCUGAGAGGGGGAUCCCCCACACUGGUACUGAGACACGGACCAGACUCCUACGGGAGGCAGCAGUGAGGAAUAUUGGACAAUGGGCGAGAGCCUGAUCCAGCCAUGCCGCGUGCAGGAAGACUGCCCUAUGGGUUGUAAACUGCUUUUAUACGGGAAGAAACACUUCCUACGUGUAGGGGCCUUGACGGUACCGUAAGAAUAAGCAUCGGCUAACUUCCGUGCCAGCAGCCGCCGGUAAUACCGGAGGAUGCCAAGCGUUAUCCGGAAAUCUUUGGGUUUUAAAGGGUCCGUAAGGC